This 1192-nucleotide long non-coding RNA is filed under the name Solanum tuberosum (potato). RNAcentral's name for it is "long non-coding RNA (STUB_LNC011657)". Lineage: Eukaryota; Viridiplantae; Streptophyta; Magnoliopsida; Solanales; Solanaceae. The record is from RNAcentral.
UUCAUUGAAGGUGCAUCCGCCCCUGGCAAGUUCUUUGUAUCACUUUGAAUAAACGACACAAUGUAUGUCGGUACUCAUCCACUAAGUUGCUACUUAACUUUUGGAGAUGGUCUUCUGAUUGUAUUUAAGCUUGCUUUCUAAAUAGGAUGGAAUAUUUAUCUCUUCUUUACUAAUGUGGUUCCAUUCCUUUGAUGCAAUAGAUUUACUAGCUAUAUGGGUAGCACAUACCUCAAGUAAGGUCUCAUAAGUUACUCAUUCAUUUCCUCUCGUUAAGAGAUAUUCACCAUAUAUUCAACUUGAUUGUUUUCCAAUUAGAAGCUCAUUUUACCAUUAUGAGUAGGUGCGUGGGAGAAAGGCUUAGAUCAAAGACUUGUAUUAAUAGCCAUAUAGUUUCUAGUCCCAUUAACUUUUAUCAGAGUAGUUUGCGUUGCAGUCACUUACAAUUUUUUGGAUAUUGUCAGUUGGACUGACCAACAGAGAGAUGCUGCUGCUAAAGAGGGUUGGGGUUACCGAUUGACUUUUUCUGCCCGGCUGGUAAUUGGUUUUAUUUUCCUUGGUGAAUAGAACAAUGUUGCGGUUCUUUAGUGAAGUAAUGUUUUAUGUCACAGGUUGGAUUAGUUCUUAGUGCUGAUGCCUUGUUUAUUGGAGCACAAAAAGUAGGACAAUAUCUUCAGGUGUUAAGGUCUCACUGAGAUCGGCUAUUGGAGCUUGAAGUUACAUGCUGUGCAGCCACAAGGAAACGAUUUUUUCUGAAUUCAGGACAUGUGUAAAGCGACUUCCCUAACAUCCUUUUUCUGAAGCUAGAGAAGUGAGAUGAAAAUCCAUUCUAAGGAGUAUCUCAGGGCCCGGAUUCCUUAAAUGUCUUGUAUUUCAUGGAAACAUUUUUAAAGUGAGGCCAUAUUAUGCAGCGAUUACCUGUUGAUAUUACUUCAAAAGUUGAUGAUUCUAAAUCUGCAUUACUAUAUAGCUAGAUCCGGGGACAACAUCGAAUUAAACCACUAACUUUCAAGUGAGUUUUCUUGCCCCCUAUUUUGCAUGAUGAAUAUUUAUUUGGAUUAUUAAAUUUGAGUUCGCGUAAUUUACAAAUAUGCGGCUUAGUAUGCAAGGUUUGUGAAGUACCCAUGUUCGUACAUGAUUCAUGAAAAGCAAGGAAUUAUAUGCCCUUGGUACUGUGUUCUUUACUUUUUGACUC